CCGGCAGCAGCUAGCUCUCUGCAACUCUCACAUAUUCGCCCACUGAAGCUAAGCAGGGCUGCGCCUGGUCAGUACCUGGAUGGGAGACCACAUGGGAAAGCUGGGUUGCUGCUGGA
Molecule: ribosomal RNA, 116 nt
Organism: Danio rerio (zebrafish)
Lineage: Eukaryota; Metazoa; Chordata; Actinopteri; Cypriniformes; Danionidae
Source: Ensembl